GUGUGAUUGAACAAACAUAAAAUUAGGUGUAUGUAUUUAAAAAAAAAAGUAAAAAAAAAUAGGUGUAUGAGCAAAGAGAAGAAAAGAGCAUACAUGAAAUAAAUGGAGUAUUGUCAACAAAAAAAGAAAGAAAUGUUGUACUUACGGUAUCCAAAAAUAAUGGUUUAUUCUUUAAAAAAAAUGGUGUAAUUACAAUUAAUUGCUAGAGUUAAUAUAUUCUAUUUAGAGUAUGUUUUGAUAAUCUUGAUUUUCAUGUGCAGCAAAGGAAUAAGCCUUACCUUAACUAUUAUUAUCAAUUAAUCUUAGCCAUUAAUUGAAAUUAAAAUCAAAGGUCAAGAUUUGGAGUAAGUUAUAAAACUUACUCUUGGAGUCAAUAUAACCC
This 382-nucleotide long non-coding RNA is filed under the name Trifolium pratense (red clover). Its description in RNAcentral is "long non-coding RNA (TPRA_LNC014399)". Lineage: Eukaryota; Viridiplantae; Streptophyta; Magnoliopsida; Fabales; Fabaceae. The record is from RNAcentral.